AAGUGCCUCCCAAGGAGAAAGCUGGUCAAUUCAUCGUGGCAGAGGCUUGGGGGCUGAGCUGGAGUCUCGGUUCUCCACGGACGCGGGCUGCCCCCAACCCAGGGUGUGGCCGGAAAGGCAGCUGGGAGUGACGCAUCACGGCCAGGGGAGCAUCUGACCACAGCUUUCAGAUGUGAGACGAGGAGCUGAGCUCUCGGCCCCGUGGAGUUUCCCUCGUGGCUUCAGCGGGCAGCGUUCCAGGUCCCCGACCAUCCUCUGUGCCCGUGUGUGCUGCAAGCCCCUGGUGGCUGUUUCCAUCGUCCCAUGAGCCCAUGGGG
RNAcentral lists this long non-coding RNA (317 nucleotides) under Sus scrofa (pig). RNAcentral's name for it is "lncRNA (ENSSSCG00070021914.1)". Lineage: Eukaryota; Metazoa; Chordata; Mammalia; Artiodactyla; Suidae. The record is from RNAcentral.